Bradysia coprophila is the source of this 135-nucleotide long non-coding RNA. The record is from RefSeq and is a predicted model, not a curated record. Lineage: Eukaryota; Metazoa; Arthropoda; Insecta; Diptera; Sciaridae.
UGGGCUCUUGCUCGAAAAAAAAAAAAUGCUUGCUCGAAGGAAAAUCGUAAUUUCUGUACUAGAACGAGUCCAUGGAACCAAUUGUUUGUACCAUUGCUAUCAGAAUUGCAACCACUACCGAUGCAAACACAAUUC